Molecule: ribosomal RNA, 253 nt
Filed under: uncultured bacterium
Lineage: Bacteria
Description: partial 16S ribosomal RNA
Rfam family: Bacterial small subunit ribosomal RNA
Source: RNAcentral
UACAGAGGUGGCAAGCGUUGCUCGGUAUCACUGGGCUUAAAGGGCGCGUAGGCGGUGCGGUACGGUUUCGGUGAAAUCCCUCGGCCCAACCGAGGAACAGCCGGGGCUACGGCCGCGCUAGACGGCAUCAGGGGACAGUGGAACUCCCGGUGGAGCGGUGAAAUGCGUAGAUAUCGGGAGGAACAUCUGUGGCGAAGGCGACACCCUGGACCAGCACUGACACUGAGGCACGAAAGCGUGGGGAGCAAACAGG